GAUGAACGCUGGCGGCGUGCUUAACACAUGCAAGUCGAACGGGAAUUCUUUUAUUGAAACUUCGGUCGAUUUAAUUUAAUUCUAGUGGCGGACGGGUGAGUAACGCGUGGGUAACCUGCCUUAUACAGGGGGAUAACAGUCAGAAAUGGCUGCUAAUACCGCAUAAGCGCACAGAGCUGCAUGGCUCAGUGUGAAAAACUCCGGUGGUAUAAGAUGGACCCGCGUUGGAUUAGCUGGUUGGUGGGGUAACGGCCCACCAAGGCGACGAUCCAUAGCCGGCCUGAGAGGGUGAACGGCCACAUUGGGACUGAGACACGGCCCAGACUCCUACGGGAAGCAGCAGUGGGGAAUAUUGCACAAUGGGGGAAACCCUGAUGCAGCGACGCCGCGUGAAGGAAGAAGUAUCUCGGUAUGUAAACUUCUAUCAGCAGGGAAGAUAGUGACGGUACCUGACUAAGAAGCCCCGGCUAACUACGUG
Molecule: ribosomal RNA, 478 nt
Filed under: uncultured bacterium
Lineage: Bacteria
Description: partial 16S ribosomal RNA
Rfam family: Bacterial small subunit ribosomal RNA
Source: RNAcentral